RNAcentral lists this unclassified non-coding RNA (353 nucleotides) under uncultured fungus. RNAcentral's name for it is "partial contains small subunit ribosomal RNA, internal transcribed spacer 1, and 5.8S ribosomal RNA". The stretch from base 1 to 73 matches the Rfam family "Eukaryotic small subunit ribosomal RNA", at positions 1759 to 1831 of the family's 1831-position model. The record is from RNAcentral. Lineage: Eukaryota; Fungi.
GCAAACUUGGUCAUUUAGAGGAAGUAAAAGUCGUAACAAGGUCUCCGUUGGUGAACCAGCGGAGGGAUCAUUACAGAGUUACUAUAAACUCCCAACCCUUUGUGAACCUUACCGCCGUUGCCUCGGCGGCUAGCAGCGCGUCUUAAUCCGGGGAGGGGCUACCCUGGAAUCAUCUACCCUGUAGGUGAUUGCCCUGGAGCUGCCCCGGAGCUACCUUGUAGUUUACGCCUGCGCCGUCAGAGGACCAUUAAAAAUUCUCGCGUUACUUGACUCUGAAGAAUCGAAACAAAAAAAAAUUUGUUAAAACUUUCAACAACGGAUCUCUUGGUUCUGGCAUCGAUGAAGAACGCAGC